Molecule: ribosomal RNA, 459 nt
Filed under: uncultured bacterium
Lineage: Bacteria
Description: partial 16S ribosomal RNA
Rfam family: Bacterial small subunit ribosomal RNA
Source: RNAcentral
AACGAACGCUGGCGGCAUGCCUAACACAUGCAAGUCGAACGAGACCUUCGGGUCUAGUGGCGCACGGGUGCGUAACGCGUGGGAACCUUCCCUUAGGUUCGGAAUAACUCCCCGAAAGGGGUGCUAAUACCGGAUAAUGUCUUCGGACCAAAGAUUUAUCGCCUUUGGAUGGGCCCGCGUUGGAUUAGCUAUUUGGUAGGGUAAAAGCCUACCAAGGCGACGAUCCAUAGCUGGUCUGAGAGGAUGAUCAGCCACACUGGGACUGAGACACGGCCCAGACUCAGACGGGAGGCAGCAGAAGGGAAGAGGCGGCAAUGGGGGAAACACGGAACGAGCAACGCCGCGGGAGUGAAGAAGGUUUUCGGAGCGGAAAGCUAUGUUGUAAGUCAAGAACGGGGGUGAGAGUGGAAAGUUCACACUGUGACGGUAGCUUACCAGAAAGGGACGGCUAACUACGUG